Lagenorhynchus albirostris (white-beaked dolphin) is the source of this 4603-nucleotide long non-coding RNA. RefSeq lists it as uncharacterized. The transcript is spliced from 3 exons. The record is from RefSeq and is a predicted model, not a curated record. NCBI's taxonomy places the organism in Eukaryota, Metazoa, Chordata, Mammalia, Artiodactyla, Delphinidae.
GCUGCUCCGCGGCAUGUGGGAUCUUCCUGGCCAGGGCUUGAACCCGUGUCCCCUGCAUUGGCAGGCGGAUUAUUAACCACUGCGCCACCAGGGAAGCCCUGUGAACUAGAGCGUUUUCAUGUGGCGAAGUAUUUAUGCUACAAUGGAAAAACUAACGUGUACAUUUUGCAUUUUGAAAAACAAAUUGGAAAGCUACUAUCGUCACUGGGUAGGAUUAGUAGUUACUUUUCUUUGCCUUUAUAGUCCCCAGAUUUUCUACAGUUGUAUUUUUAAGCUCAGAAAGAAAACAAAAACACGCAGGCAGUCAGUCACACCUGCUUUUACUCACCAUUUUGUUUUCUGGCUCUUCUGUAGUCUUCCCUUUCUUUAUUGUAAUUUGAACUUUGUACUUUUUCUCGAUCCACUGCUGAAUCUGUUUACUCUUUGUGUCCAAAUCAUGUUGUCCAAUAUUUGAAGAAAAAGUCAGUUCCUUUGUCAGGGUGGGUCCUGGUUUGAAAGAGUGAGACUUGGCGCUAGUCUGUGUGAGGCCUGUGCUUCAUCACAUGCUCGUCCUAAGUCUACGUUGCUACAGGGGCCCUACAAGUCCUCCUGUCCAGUAGCUUCACAUGCCCGUAAACAUUCAAACACGGGAGACAGACACAGGUAAAAUACCAGUUUUUUACCUGCCAAGUAAGAGUAUUUCAACAUGGAAUGCUUCUGUUUAUCAUUACCAUUGUCUGAUGAAAGAACAAAGAAGUGGUCCUUUAAAAGGAACCAGUUAAUCCUUAUUCUUAUUUUGGAUGGUGGGUAACAGGUGUUUAUUAUGUUUUUUCUUUAGGCUUUCUUUUCUUAUAUUUUUUCUUCUUUAAAUUAAUUUUUCUAAAAAGGAGUUCUUUUAUUAACACCUCUUUGCUUCCUUACAGCUCCUACCAGCUGGUCUGAGUUCUCUGUCAGCCCUUCAGCCAUCUCUGAACCAGGCUUCUCAGGCUGUCCACCUUUCUGUUGUAAACGUGACAUAGUUUGAUGUCCUUAUCACCCUAGCUGGCCUCUGGAUAGUUUUUGUUUUCCAGUCAACGUCUCUGUUGUUAAAUGUGGUGUCAGAAAAUUGACACGUGGCCUUACUGUGCACUCUGGAGCCUUCUGACCUCUGUCCCAGUGUGUUUUCUGUAAUGAUCAGCACUUACUAGGAAUCAUGAAAAGCAAACCUCUUCACUUAAUAUCCAACUCACGGCUUCUGUACGGUUUAAAUGACAAGAGAGUUGGCACAUCACGUGAGCGUUCCUACCCUUACUGUGACGAAACGGGCGUGGGGCACGCUCCAGGAAUCACUUCAGAGUUAGGGAGUGCUUCCGUGUGAUUAACUGCACACGCACGCGCGCGCGCGCUUGGAGAUGAUGGGAGCAGGGGAGGAGGGCGCCCCGACAGGUGAGCGGCCCAGGACAUGACCAGGAGCCCACCCCACCUGUCCACGUCGUCAUGCCCUUGUGCAGUGGAAGGCCAGGCAGCCGUCGGGGGGUUAAGGGGUUCCCAUUAUUUUGGUGGUGGUCACCUUGUUUUCCCCUCAUUUUACACAGGUGUAGAGGAAGACAUGACAGACACAAGAGUAGCAAGGAAAAUAGAAAAAAAGGGAUAGAAAUAAGUGGACGAAAAAGACACUGGAAACGGUGGUGAAAGGACGGCUCAGCUUCUCACUGGCCUGUUGUCACAGGGGCCCUGGCAAAUGCCUGACCUCAGCUGCGGAUGUGCAGUCCUGAGGACCUCGGGGGCAGACAGCAAGGUACCUACCAGGCUUGGGCUCGGCCCUCUCCAUCCCUCUGAGCCGGAGCCGCUCCUGGUAGAUCUGCGUGCCCGUCAUGAGCUGGUACUGCGGGGGCUGGGCGCCGGGGUCCCUCGGCACCAGCCGCAGGUCCUGCUCGGCCAUGAGCCUGAUCACGUUCGCUCGGUGCAUGGGGCCCAGGUCGUUGCCCUUCUCGUCCAGCACCUGAAUGAUGCGCUCGUUAAUUUUUCUUCCAACGUUACGAAAAGCUGUUUCAUUCUUUUUUUUCUUUUCUCUCUUGUCCUGGGUGUCUUCAGUACUAAAAGCUUCUGCGUGAAUGAGGCAGGACGGUCUUGGGGCAGAGGCAAUGUGGGAUGGUUCCGCCAGCGCCGUCUUCUGUACGACGUAUUUACCCAAACGUCUUCUAAUGCAAGUAUUUUCCGUUUUUAUAGUUUGUAAUGUUAACCUCUUUAGCAAAAGAGCAGCCAUCCUAAAAAGCAGGGAGAAAAGCUCACUGAAGUCCGAUCACUCAUUCCCCUGGGUCGGUGCUGUGGAACAUGGAGGGCGUGUGUGAGCCUGUGGGAACCUCACCUGUGAACACUGCAGGUCCAUGCACAGGAAACUUAAAAGUUAUCUUAGUUGACUCCGUUCCCCAUGGAUCUCACAGUGCUGGCUCCAAAAGCAGAUACAGUCUAAGGCUUUAUUUAGGACGAUGCAGAACAUUGAAUCCCUGGUGACUCACAAACACCUCUUCAUGAACGUAGUGAACAACUCAUCAGUACAUCUGACGGUCUACAAAAGGUAAGAACACUGUUAUGGGAAAGGGGACCCUCCAGGAAGACAGCUGACCCCCUGGAAGGAUGAACUGGGACUCUCAGAAAGGAAAUGCCCUGACAUUAGAGUGGCCUCAUAAACUACAUCCAUCGCUCACAAGGCAGGUGCUGCACUGCAGCCGAAGGUAGACCUAAGAAUUGUCUGAGGGAGUGACGAGAGGACCCGUUCAUCUCAUCUAGGGUUUGCUGAGAAACACGAGAGAAUCAAGAACUCAGAGAGCAGAUCCCACUGUUCACCCUCUAAAAAUCGGGAUCCAAGCACUCCACCUUCUCCCUCGCUGUCUAUCACCCUGCCCCUGACACGCCCUCAUCUCUCACCUGGAUCAGGUCCCAGCCUCCUGACCGCCCUCCCCGCUGCUGCCCCUGCCCCUUAAAACAUGGAAGUCAGGCCGCGGCGCUCCUCUGCCCACAGCCCUCCGCGGCCCCCACCUCGCUGCAGAGCCCCCGGCACCAGGCCCCCACCCACCCCUGCCCACAGCACCCGCCCCGCUUCCUGCACUCCCUGUCCCAACCGCACGGGCCUCCCUGCCAUUCCUGUAAACGCCGGGCGCGCCCUCCCCCCAGCCCCCGCCCCGGGUGGGAUCCUCUCCCUCAGACGAUGCCAGUUCAUUUACUUCUCGGCGAGGCCUUCCCUGUCCACUCUGUCAACGGCACAUCCCAUCCUUUCAAACCCACGACCUUGCCUUUUAAAGAGAUUCACUGAUGACAUGCACUGAUCUACACACGAACACUCAGUCUUUCCUCAAUGGAACGUAAGCUUCAUGAGAAAACGUCACUUGUCUACUUCGUUCACUGCUGUGCUCCCCACACUACCGCCUACAGCCUGUCUCAGUACGUACAGCCGUCCUCGGUAUCCACGCGGGACUGGUUCCAGGACACCUGGCGUGGACGCCAAACUCCGAGGAUGCUCAAGUCCCUUAUAUAAAAAGCUGUCGUGUUCGCACAUAACCUAUGCACAUCCUCCUGUACACUCUGAAUCAGCUCUAGAUUACUUAUAAUACCUAAUACGAUGGAAAUGAUAUAUAAAUAGUUGCCUGGCACAGUCGCUUUUUGGAACUUUCUGGCAAUUUUUUCUUUUUCGAGUAUUUUCAGUCAUGGUUGGUUGCAGCCACGGAUGUGGAACCUGUGGAUACGGAGGACUGACUGUACGUGCUGAAUGAAUGCGUGAGCCCAAGGAAACCGCCAGGAGGCAGGCGGUGUCUGGGGGCAAAUCUCCAGGUCGUCACGUGCAUCAGCGCCCCCCACCGCAGAUGCGCCGUAAGAGUGCUCUUUUCAUUCUAGAGAUACUGAACUUUCCUCCGUAUAUUUUCUUCCUUUAUUCAAAAGCUGGGGCCCUUUUUUCCAGGAGUAUUCAAUCAUACCGCUGUGUCAGUUUUCUUCUGGUGCUCUUCUAUAGUAUCGUGAGAAGAUAUUGUCAGAUUUAUGAAUGAACCUUGAAUAAAAUGAUCCAUGCUUUACAAAAAAAAAAAAAAAUUCCCAGCUGGCAUUUCAAAUGUCCACCAACCUCAGUGAGCUCUACGGCCAGAUGUUUCAUCCACAAUGAAUGGGUUACCUGACGGUCAUGAACUGGGGAUGCAGAUGCUGUAAAGGCUCCACAGUGGGACUGAACUGGGUUUUAAAUAGCUGAGAUACUUACUGUUCAAUAACAGACACUCAGACACUUGUUGCCACAUGGCGGAAGCCGGCAAACCAAACAGAAAAGUCUGAAGACACUGGAGACGACUUUUCCAUUAUCCUCAGAAAAAGAGCAGCAGCAGCAGCAAGUCCCAGAGUUCAGUAUGAGUUAGGAUGAAGCUAGCAGUUACAGACGAAAGCUAGUGUGCCCUGUGUAAUGAGUUACCAACACGUUACAUAGAAAGUACUAUUCAAUAAGUAGGAUUUUGUAAAACAAGGAAGCGAAUGAACAAACUAGGCACAGGAGAAAGAUGAAAAGAAAUUUAAGAAGAACCCUGUGGUUUCCUUAAGGUUGAAGACACAGUAAUUUUCAUUCCCCUAUUCUUCCUAAUUACCAUUAUUUUUCUAAUUUUUUUUUUUU